AACGAACGCUGGCGGCGCGUCUUAAGCAUGCAAGUCGAGCGGCAAGGGCAGCGAUGCCCCUAGAGCGGCGGACUGGUGAGUAACGCGUGGGUGACCUACCCUUAGGAUGGGGAUAGCCAUUAGAAAUAGUGGGUAAUACCGAAUGUGAUUGCGGGACUGUGGUUUCGCAAAGAAAGGAGCUAAGGCUCCGCCUGAGGAUGGGCCCGCGUCCCAUUAGGUAGUUGGUGCGGUAAAGGCGUACCAAGCCGGAGAUGGGUAGCCGGCCUGAGAGGGUGAACGGCCACACUGGGACUGAGAUACGGCCCAGACUCCUACGGGAGGCAGCAGCUAAGAAUAUUCCGCAAUGGGCGAAAGCCUGACGGAGCGACGCCGCGUGUACGAAGAAGGCCGAAAGGUUGUAAAGUACUUUUUUUGCGGAAGAAUAAGCGGUGGAGGGAAUGCCAUCGUGAUGACGAGAAGCGAAGAAUAAGCCCCGGCUAAUUACGUGCCAGCAGCCGCGGUAACACGUAAGGGGCGAGCGUUGUUCGGAAUUAUUGGGCGUAAAGGGCGCGUAGGCGGUUAUGGAAGUCUGAUGUGAAAGGCAGGAGCUUAACUUCUGGAUUGCAUUGGAAGCUGGAUGACUAGAGUCAUGGAGGGGGAGUUGGAAUUCCUAGUGUAGGGGUGAAAUCUGUAGAUAUUAGGAAGAACACCGGUGGCGAAGCGAACUUCUAGCCAUGACUGACGCUGAGCGCGAAAGUGCGGGGAGCGAACAGGAUUAGAUACCUGGUAGUCGCACUAUAACGAUGUGCACUAGGUGUUGGGCCCGAGCGGUUCAGUGCCGGAGCGAACGUGAUAAGUGCACCGCCUGGGGAGUAUGCCCGCAAGGGUGAAACUCAAAGGAAUUGACGGGGGCCCGCACAAGCGGUGGAGCAUGUGGUUUAAUUCGAUGAUACGCGAGGAACCUUACCUGGGUUUGACAUGGAGGCGAAGGGUGCAGAGAUGUACCCGCCUGGCAACAGGCGCUUUCACAGGUGCUGCAUGGCUGUCGUCAGCUCGUGCCGUGAGGUGUUGGGUUAAGUCCCGCAACGAGCGCAACCCUUACUGCCAGUUGCUAACAGGUAAAGCUGAGGACUCUGGCGGAACUGCCGGUGACAAACCGGAGGAAGGUGGGGAUGACGUCAAGUCAUCAUGGCCCUUAUGUCCAGGGCUACACACGUGCUACAAUGGUUGGUACAACGUGACGCGAAACCGCGAGGUAAGAGCGAAGCACGAAAAGCCAGCCGUAGUUCGGAUUGAAGUCUGAAACCCGACUUCAUGAAGUUGGAAUCGCUAGUAAUCGCACAUCAGCAUGGUGCGGUGAAUACGUUCCCGGGCCUUGUACACACCGCCCGUCACACCAUCCGAGUUGGAGGUACCCGAAGCCGGUAGUCUAACCGCAAGGGGGACGCUGUCGAAGGUACGUUUAGUGAGGAGGGUG
RNAcentral lists this ribosomal RNA (1456 nucleotides) under uncultured Spirochaetota bacterium. Its description in RNAcentral is "bacterial SSU rRNA". It matches the Rfam family "Bacterial small subunit ribosomal RNA". Lineage: Bacteria; Pseudomonadati; Spirochaetota. The record is from RNAcentral.